CAGCGCCACAAGUGGGAAUCACAUUUAUUGGGCCUAAAGCGUUCGUAGCCGGUUUGGUAAAUCUUUUGUUAAAUCGCAGAGCUCAACUCUGCGGCGUGCAGAGGACACUGCUAAACUAGGGACCGGGAGGAGUCAGAGGUAUGCUGAGGGGAGCGGUAAAAUGCUAUAAUCCUCGGUAGACCACCUGUGGCGAAGGCGUCUGACUAGAACGGAUUCGACGGUGAUUGGACGAAAGUCAGGGGAGCAAUCCGGAUUAGAUACCCGAGUAGUCC
This 272-nucleotide ribosomal RNA is filed under the name uncultured archaeon. RNAcentral describes it as "partial 16S ribosomal RNA". It matches the Rfam family "Archaeal small subunit ribosomal RNA", at positions 477 to 747 of the family's 1478-position model. The record is from RNAcentral.